AUCUGAAUGUGGAACCCUCAGCUACUCCUCAUCUCCCAUGUCUGUCUGCAUGACGCCAUGAGGAUAAUGGACUAAACUCAGCAUAGGGUGUGGCUGGAGACCGCGAGCACGCUGGUGCCUGAAGUGGACGCAGGGAUUCCCGGUGUAGACCUAUCUACUCAGCAUUCCUUGGCCCGGACCCACCAAGGUAUUAUCGGUAAACCCGAACAGGUGAACCAGGAGUGCUGCAGAACGGGAUCCUACUGGUGGCCGCCUUUGUGUUUAUCUUAUUCUCUUCCUGUUGCCUGUGGAUCCAGAUGUAGAACCCUCAGCUCCUUCUCCGGCACCGUGUCUGCCUGCACGCCGCCAUGUCCCACCGCGAUGACAAUGGGCUAAACCUCUGAACCUGUAAGCCAGCCCAAUGAAAUGUUUUCCUUUAUAAGAGUUGCCGUGGUCAUGGUGUCUCUUCACCGACAGAGGCUGGGCUCAAAAAUGAUUAGAUUGAUUGAUCUGACAGAGG
Molecule: long non-coding RNA, 499 nt
Filed under: Cricetulus griseus (Chinese hamster)
Lineage: Eukaryota; Metazoa; Chordata; Mammalia; Rodentia; Cricetidae
Description: lncRNA (ENSCGRG00015032888.1)
Source: RNAcentral